This 355-nucleotide unclassified non-coding RNA is filed under the name soil metagenome. Its description in RNAcentral is "partial contains 5.8S ribosomal RNA, internal transcribed spacer 2, and large subunit ribosomal RNA". The stretch from base 1 to 120 matches the Rfam family "5.8S ribosomal RNA", at positions 35 to 154 of the family's 154-position model. The record is from RNAcentral.
GAUGAAGAACGCAGCGAAAUGCGAUAAGUAGUGUGAAUUGCAGAAUUCAGUGAAUCAUCGAAUCUUUGAACGCACAUUGCGCCUUCUAGUAUUCUGGGAGGCAUGCCUGUUUGAGCGUCAUUAGACCUCUCUCAAGUAUGAUUACUUGGAUGUGAAGGAAGAGUACCUUAAACUUAAGGAGUGUUCUCCUUUGAAAUUGAUUAGCAGAUGGUAAUGUUAUUAAAUCCCUGAUGUUGUAAGAAAUAACAGUGGUUUUGUAGACUAUUAUCUAGCUUUAAAUUAUAAUUUUUAUUAUGGUUGACCUCAAAUCAGGUAAGGAUACCCGCUGAACUUAAGCAUAUCAAUAAGCGGAGGA